This is a long non-coding RNA of Alosa sapidissima (American shad), 115 nucleotides long. RefSeq lists it as uncharacterized. The transcript has 4 exons. The record is from RefSeq and is a predicted model, not a curated record. NCBI's taxonomy places the organism in Eukaryota, Metazoa, Chordata, Actinopteri, Clupeiformes, Clupeidae.
UCUUAGACUGUUACUGUGCGGUUCAGAUGUCUUGUGGGGUGCUUAUUGCAGUCAACAAAGCAGACAUCUGUAAGUUUCAAGCCGAUGCUAUUGUGAAUCCUGCUAAUGAAGACCU